This is a non-coding RNA of Drosophila persimilis, 46 nucleotides long. The record is from Rfam. NCBI's taxonomy places the organism in Eukaryota, Metazoa, Arthropoda, Insecta, Diptera, Drosophilidae.
CAAACGGCUCUUUUCAGAGCCACCAAUCUGUUGGCCAAAGAGCAUU